Long non-coding RNA from Ostrinia nubilalis (European corn borer), 205 nucleotides. RefSeq lists it as uncharacterized. The record is from RefSeq and is a predicted model, not a curated record. Lineage: Eukaryota; Metazoa; Arthropoda; Insecta; Lepidoptera; Crambidae. The transcript has 3 exons.
UUGGAGUUGCCUUAGUGUAUUGGAGAUGCAGAUCGCGCCUCAGCAAAUGCGUGAGCGCAGUGUAUAAUUAUUUGGAAGAGGGCGGCGAGAGAGCUGCGCGGGCGCCUCUCAACGCGUACAAGAAGCCAGUGGUGAACUGCUCCCCGCUCCGCUCGUGCGCCUCCGGUGGCACCACCAACGGCAGCGCGUGCUCGGCGGCGCGGCC